RNAcentral lists this ribosomal RNA (565 nucleotides) under Streptomyces sp. 319C09. RNAcentral describes it as "bacterial SSU rRNA". It matches the Rfam family "Bacterial small subunit ribosomal RNA", at positions 93 to 671 of the family's 1533-position model. Lineage: Bacteria; Bacillati; Actinomycetota; Actinomycetes; Kitasatosporales; Streptomycetaceae. The record is from RNAcentral.
CAGUGGCGAACGGGUGAGUAACACGUGGGCAAUCUGCCCUGCACUCUGGGACAAGCCCUGGAAACGGGGUCUAAUACCGGAUAUUACCUUCCCCUGCAUGGGGGUUGGUGGAAAGCUCCGGCGGUGCAGGAUGAGCCCGCGGCCUAUCAGCUUGUUGGUGGGGUAAUGGCCUACCAAGGCGACGACGGGUAGCCGGCCUGAGAGGGCGACCGGCCACACUGGGACUGAGACACGGCCCAGACUCCUACGGGAGGCAGCAGUGGGGAAUAUUGCACAAUGGGCGAAAGCCUGAUGCAGCGACGCCGCGUGAGGGAUGACGGCCUUCGGGUUGUAAACCUCUUUCAGCAGGGAAGAAGCGAAAGUGACGGUACCUGCAGAAGAAGCACCGGCUAACUACGUGCCAGCAGCCGCGGUAAUACGUAGGGUGCGAGCGUUGUCCGGAAUUAUUGGGCGUAAAGAGCUCGUAGGCGGCUUGUUGCNGUCGAUUGUGAAAGCCCGGGGCUUAACCCCGGGUCUGCAGUCGAUACGGGCAGGCUAGAGUUCGGUAGGGGAGAUCGGAAUUCCU